CAAAGGUAGCGUAAUCACUUGUCUAUUAAUUGUAGACCAGCAUGAAAGGCAAAAUGAGGGCCUGACUGUCUCUUAUAGUAAACCUAUUAAACUGAUCUCCCAGUAAAAAAGCUGGGAUUAUAACAUAAGACCAGAAGACCCUGUGAAGCUUUAACUAAACUAUUAAACCAUAUAAUAACUACUUUCGGUUGGGGCGACCUUGGAAAAAAAAAGAACUUCCAACCACAAUGACCUAAAAUCAUCCACAGGCCCACAAGCCAACACUAGACCCAGUACAACUGACUACCGAACCAAGUUACUCCAGGGAUAACAGCGCUAUCUUCUUUAAGAGCCCAUAUCAAAAAGAAGGCUUACGACCUCGAUGUUGGAU
RNAcentral lists this ribosomal RNA (370 nucleotides) under Manolepis putnami. RNAcentral describes it as "partial 16S ribosomal RNA". It matches the Rfam family "Bacterial large subunit ribosomal RNA", at positions 1951 to 2537 of the family's 2925-position model. Lineage: Eukaryota; Metazoa; Chordata; Lepidosauria; Squamata; Dipsadidae. The record is from RNAcentral.